Non-coding RNA from Ceratotherium simum simum (southern white rhinoceros), 484 nucleotides. The record is from RefSeq and is a predicted model, not a curated record. Lineage: Eukaryota; Metazoa; Chordata; Mammalia; Perissodactyla; Rhinocerotidae.
UGCCUGUACCACCUCCUGCAGUUUCAGCUCUUGCAGUAAUUACUGAGAGUAAUUAGAUAUCAUGUGUCAUACAAUAUGACCCCUAAGUACAAAUGACUAUUUCAUCUGGUGUUCAACUGUGCAAGUAGGAGGGGAAAAUGGCUGUGUUGGGUUAAGAGACAGUAUAUUGCUUUCCAAUAUCUUCCCAAGGAAUUUUCCAGGGUGUAUUUAGCUCAAUGUGACUUGUUCAUUUCACUGUACAUGCUGAUUUUAGCUCUUAUCCCUGAGUUAAGAUGUGACUCCAGAGUGUCCACAUUGCCUGUAUCCUCUUUCUCAACUUUUUAUGAUUUAGUCAGAUGAGAAGACCACAUGGUGCUAAAUCAGGAAUCCUGGAAUGUCAGUCUCCCAGAGAGGAAAUACUUCAGAAACAAACACUUUAAUAUGAGGAGUCAGGGAAAGAGGACAUAUUACUGGGGUCUAUGUGACCUAGAUAGGCUUUAUGGAA